Molecule: ribosomal RNA, 447 nt
Filed under: uncultured bacterium
Lineage: Bacteria
Description: partial 16S ribosomal RNA
Rfam family: Bacterial small subunit ribosomal RNA
Source: RNAcentral
AGCGAACGCUGGCAGCAAGCUUAACACAUGCAAGUCGAACGCCCAGCAAUGGGAGUGGCGGACGGGUGUAUAACACGUGGGAAUCUACCUUUCAGUACGGAAUAACUCAGGGAAACUUGUGCUAAUACCGUAUAAUGUCUCCGGACCGAAGAUUUAUCGCUGAAAGAUGAGCCCGCGGCAGAUUAGCUAGUUGGUGGGGUAAUGGCCUACCAAGGCAACGAUCUGUAGCUGGUCUGAGAGGAUGAUCAGCCACACUGGGACUGAGACACGGCCCAGACUCCUACGGGAGGCAGCAGUGGGGAAUAUUGGACAAUGGGCGCAAGCCUGAUCCAGCUAUGCCGCGUGAAUGAUGAAGGCCUUCGGGUUGUAAAGUUCUUUUAGGUGGGAAGAUUAUGACGGUACCACCAGAAAAAGCUCCGGCUAACUUCGUGCCAGCAGCCGCCGUAA